RNAcentral lists this ribosomal RNA (254 nucleotides) under uncultured bacterium. RNAcentral describes it as "partial 16S ribosomal RNA". It matches the Rfam family "Bacterial small subunit ribosomal RNA", at positions 524 to 776 of the family's 1533-position model. The record is from RNAcentral.
UACGUAGGGUGCGAGCGUUGUCCGGAAUUAUUGGGCGUAAAGAGCUCGUAGGCGGUGUGUCACGUCGGCCGUGAAAACCUGCAGCUUAACUGUGGGCGUGCGGUCGAUACGGGCAUCACUGGAGUUCGGCAGGGGAGACUGGAAUUCCUGGUGUAGCGGUGAAAUGCGCAGAUAUCAGGAGGAACACCAACGGCGAAGGCAGCUCGCUGGGACGGUACUGACGCUGAGACGCGAAAGCGUGGGGAGCGAACAGG